RNAcentral lists this ribosomal RNA (390 nucleotides) under uncultured bacterium. RNAcentral describes it as "bacterial SSU rRNA". It matches the Rfam family "Bacterial small subunit ribosomal RNA", at positions 28 to 417 of the family's 1533-position model. The record is from RNAcentral.
GACGAACGCUGGCGGCGUGCUUAACACAUGCAAGUCGAGCGGUAAGGCCCUUUCGGGGGUACACGAGCGGCGAACGGGUGAGUAACACGUGGGUGACCUGCCCUUAGCUCGUGGGAUAAGCCCUGGGAAACUGGGUCUAAUACCGGAUAUGACUCCAUGACGCAUGUUGUGGGGUGGAAAGCCUUGUGCGGCUAGGGAUGGGCCCGCGGCCUAUCAGCUUGUUGGUGGGGUGAUGGCCUACCAAGGCGACGACGGGUAGCCGGCCUGAGAGGGCGACCGGCCACACUGGGACUGAGACACGGCCCAGACUCCUACGGGAGGCAGCAGUGGGGAAUCUUGCGCAAUGGGCGAAAGCCUGACGCAGCGACGCCGCGUGAGGGAUGACGGCCU